RNAcentral lists this ribosomal RNA (339 nucleotides) under uncultured Trichoderma. RNAcentral's name for it is "SSU rRNA". It matches the Rfam family "Eukaryotic small subunit ribosomal RNA", at positions 886 to 1224 of the family's 1831-position model. Lineage: Eukaryota; Fungi; Ascomycota; Sordariomycetes; Hypocreales; Hypocreaceae. The record is from RNAcentral.
GGGCAUCAGUAUUCAAUUGUCAGAGGUGAAAUUCUUGGAUUUAUUGAAGACUAACUACUGCGAAAGCAUUUGCCAAGGAUGUUUUCAUUAAUCAGGAACGAAAGUUAGGGGAUCGAAGACGAUCAGAUACCGUCGUAGUCUUAACCAUAAACUAUGCCGACUAGGGAUCGGACGAUGUUACAUUUUUGACGCGUUCGGCACCUUACGAGAAAUCAAAGUGCUUGGGCACCAGGGGGAGUAUGAUCGCGAGGCUGAAACUUAAAGAAAUUGACAGAAGGGCACCACCAGGGGUGGAGCCAGAGGGUUAAUUUGACUCUGGACGGGGUGAGGCUCCGGCGC